GCAAUUUGAAACUUCAUCUGAUACAUCAUUCAAGAUCCUUUUGAGUUCAUCUGCAACAUGAUCAUUGUGAAGCUGUUGUUUUGAACAAGUGCCUUAUGGAAUUCAUUUGUUACAUGGGCUAAUUUGAAGAAGAUCAUGGAAUGGAUAAUCUUGGAUGUGGCUAUCUUUAUUUGAUGCCUUUCUCUACAAGAUAAUAUAAUUUUUCAUUUGUGUGUUGCUUGAUUCUAAAAGUCCAAGGGAAUUCUGGGUUUCUAU
This 255-nucleotide long non-coding RNA is filed under the name Lathyrus oleraceus (garden pea). Its description in RNAcentral is "Pisum sativum (pea) long non-coding RNA (PSAT_LNC025411)". Lineage: Eukaryota; Viridiplantae; Streptophyta; Magnoliopsida; Fabales; Fabaceae. The record is from RNAcentral.